RNAcentral lists this ribosomal RNA (245 nucleotides) under uncultured Pseudomonas sp. RNAcentral's name for it is "partial 16S ribosomal RNA". It matches the Rfam family "Bacterial small subunit ribosomal RNA", at positions 1139 to 1382 of the family's 1533-position model. The record is from RNAcentral. Lineage: Bacteria; Pseudomonadati; Pseudomonadota; Gammaproteobacteria; Pseudomonadales; Pseudomonadaceae.
UCUAAGGAGACUGCCGGUGGACAAACCGGAGGAAGGUGGGGAUGACGUCAAGUCAUCAUGGCCCUUACGGCCUGGGCUACACACGUGCUACAAUGGUCGGUACAAAGGGUUGCCAAGCCGCGAGGUGGAGCUAAUCCCAUAAAACCGAUCGUAGUCCGGAUCGCAGUCUGCAACUCGACUGCGUGAAGUCGGAAUCGCUAGUAAUCGUGAAUCAGAAUGUCACGGUGAAUACGUUCCCGGGCCUU